UCUGAAACCGGAGCUAAUACCGGAUAAUAUUUCGAACCGCAUGGUUCGAUAGUGAAAGAUGGUUUUGCUAUCACUUAUAGAUGGACCCGCGCCGUAUUAGCUAGUUGGUAAGGUAACGGCUUACCAAGGCGACGAUACGUAGCCGACCUGAGAGGGUGAUCGGCCACACUGGAACUGAGACACGGUCCAGACUCCUACGGGAGGCAGCAGUC
Molecule: ribosomal RNA, 212 nt
Filed under: uncultured Staphylococcus sp.
Lineage: Bacteria; Bacillati; Bacillota; Bacilli; Caryophanales; Staphylococcaceae
Description: partial 16S ribosomal RNA
Rfam family: Bacterial small subunit ribosomal RNA
Source: RNAcentral